Patella vulgata (common limpet) is the source of this 302-nucleotide long non-coding RNA. RefSeq lists it as uncharacterized. Lineage: Eukaryota; Metazoa; Mollusca; Gastropoda; Patellidae. The record is from RefSeq and is a predicted model, not a curated record. The transcript has 3 exons.
AGGACAGCAAACAGCCAAAGUAUUAGCCGUAUAUAAUGAAUAAAUUCUAAUCCGAAAUAAAUUUGAAAAUAAUCCAAAUCUAUCUAUUGUCAUUGACUACAUGUAUGUCCUCGAGUUCGAACAGUGUGAGUUUUUUCCUUCGAUUGACAAGUCUAAUUAACCGUGGUACGAAUUGAAGGAGAAAAUGAAAAUAGAGACUUAUCAAGAAAUGGCAAAGCUGUUAUUGGACAGCUAUUAGGGGAAUUUGUGUGCCUUCAAAUGCUGGAGCACUGCAUGUUUCAGAACUAUCAUCCAUUCAUGGC